Molecule: small nuclear RNA, 159 nt
Organism: Hemibagrus wyckioides
Lineage: Eukaryota; Metazoa; Chordata; Actinopteri; Siluriformes; Bagridae
Product: U1 spliceosomal RNA
Exons: 1
Source: RefSeq, a predicted model, not a curated record
AUACUUACCAGGCAGGGACAAUACCAUGAUCAAAGAGGUGGUUUGCCCAGAGCAAGGCUUAGCCAUUGUACGUGGGCUGGGCUGACCUUUGCGAAAUCCAUAAAUGUGGGACUCUUGACAGCAUAAUUUCUAAUAGUGGGGGACUGUGUUUGCACUAAA